This 427-nucleotide ribosomal RNA is filed under the name uncultured prokaryote. Its description in RNAcentral is "bacterial SSU rRNA". It matches the Rfam family "Bacterial small subunit ribosomal RNA", at positions 355 to 774 of the family's 1533-position model. The record is from RNAcentral.
UAGGGAAUCUUCGGCAAUGGGCGAAAGCCUGACCGAGCAACGCCGCGUGAAUGAUGAAGGCCUUCGGGUUGUAAAAUUCUGUUAUAAGGGAAGAAUGGCUCUAGUAGGAAAUGGCUAGAGUGUGACGGUACCGUAUGAGAAAGCCACGGCUAACUACGUGCCAGCAGCCGCGGUAAUACGUAGGGGGCGAGCGUUAUCCGGAAUUAUUGGGCGUAAAGAGCGCGCAGGUGGUUGAUUAAGUCUGAUGUGAAAGCCCACGGCUUAACCGUGGAAGGUCAUUGGAAACUGGUCAACUUGAGUGCAGAAGAGGGAAGUGGAAUUCCGUGUGUAGCGGUGAAAUGCGUAGAGAUAAGGAGGAACACCAGUGGCGAAGGCGGCUUCCUGGUCUGUAACUGACACUGAGGCGCGAAAGCGUGGGGAGCAAACA